This 17343-nucleotide long non-coding RNA is filed under the name Capsicum annuum. RNAcentral describes it as "long non-coding RNA (CANN_LNC016546)". Lineage: Eukaryota; Viridiplantae; Streptophyta; Magnoliopsida; Solanales; Solanaceae. The record is from RNAcentral.
CAAAAUACCUCAGGGCAUUCCCCGGUGAAUAAAGAUAUACAGAUACUUCGGGACAUUCCCCGGCCAAAUAGUACAAUUGAUCCAAAAGUGAUAAAAUUAAACCAUUCAACACACAUUUCAACAUUCACCGCAUUGAAUCAACACCUCACUCCUAACUUUUGCCUACCCGCACCUAAAUAUUUUUGCCUAUUCAAUUCGACCUAUCAGGAUACUAUCAAGCUCGAUAUCAAUGAAUCAAAUCAACAAAAUCAUUUUUUAUCAACUUUUAAAUUCCGCCCCAGAACAAUCAAUUUUAAUUCUCAGACGAGAUAUCAUUUCAUGACACACCUUAUAAUCAAUCCAUAAUCAAAGAAAUCAAACAUCGAAUCAAAACAAAUAACGAUUCACAUCAGCACGGAUCAACCGACACAUUGGAUUCAAUUCAAAGCAUAGAACACGAUAAAUAACAAAAUAUAUAAGAGAAGGAAUAGAAUUGAACCUCGAUAGAACGUUCUUGUAUGAUAAUAAAGAAAUCCGAAGACCAAAAUACUCGAAAGGAGAACCUCAAACGCGAAUCUCCCCAAAUUUGAACUCGGCGUUGAAAAUUGAAACCCAAGAUUAGUGGCCAUGAACAGGUCAAGACAAACAAAACCAACAAUGAAUCCCUAAAACCUGAUAUGGCGACGAAAGACAAAGCUUAGACGAACCCAAACCCUAAUAUGUGAUGGACUCACAAGAAUAAUAUAGCUCGAGCUUCGAUUAGCUCAGACUAGCAUAAACGGACAGAAACAAAUCAGAAUCUGGUGCACUUGACCUUUCUGGUGGAAUCUCAAACCUAGUACCUGAAUCUGACCGAAAUCCAACGAAGAAAAGAGAUUCUGGUGAGAGCAACGAUGGGCGAAAAUUGACCAGAUAGUCAGCUCUCCGGCGAUUUUCGAUGCUCUUUAGCUAGAGUCACCUGAACUAUUUAGGAACGGACGGCUCCGGCAAACAGGUCAUCGGAAAAAAAAAUUGACCCACCUGAUUCUUGGUGAUUUCCGUCCUCCUAUCUCGUCUUAAUGUCCUCCGUGUGUGUGUGAAUCGUGGUGUGCCCAAAAACAACAAAGAAUAGAAAGGAAAAGAAUCAAAAUUCGUCUCCGAAACCAACUCUCGCGUGUGUGUGCGAUGCUCGAUGUGAGAGAGAUACCUCUGUAUCUAUGGUGAGGGUGACGAUGGAAAAAGAAAAAGACCAGUUGUCCUCUUUUCCAAGAGAUGAGAGAAUGAUGAUGACCAAGCCCCCUCCUUUUGUUAAUAUCCCCCUUCCAAAGGGAGUGUGAUCCCUAUAUGUAUAAAAAUGAAAAAAAACAAAAGUGUUCUUGGCACCUUCCUGGAAGGUUCCCCUGUGGGACCCCUUUUUAGUGUAUGCUUAUCCUUUCUACCUUUGUGGACAAGAAAUGGAGGGGUGGUGAGGUGUUGUUUUUUAAUUGGAGGGACAAGGGUUAGGUGUCUUAUUUUAAUUAAAAGGGUUUUUAGGAUGUUAAAAAGAAUAAAAGUUUGUUAGAAAUUUUGUUGAGAGUUGUGUUUGUAUUUUUUGUGGGAUGUAAUUACAUGGGUGAGGGUAUACGAUAGGAUAAGGUAAAAAUGGGUAAAAAGUGCUAUCAGGAAGGGACAAAAUUACGUGUCUACAUCAUGCUCCCUUUGAGUGCAAACACGCAGUGUUUUCAGACAAAGAAGUAAACGACGAGACCAACUUUUGUCCCGAUCAUUAUUCAAAGAGAGGAGUAAAAGAAAGAAGGACAAUCGAAUCCUGUCGGAUACCCUAUCUACCCAAGUCAUAAGAAAGUCACAAGUAUCUCAAAGGGCUGGAAGAGAAGUGGACUAUACCGAGUUGGAGAGUCGAGUGAGGUUCCAUCGAGGUUUGGGUCCGCGGCUCUGUUAUUACAUCAAAAAAUAAAAAUUACAAGUUAAAACAUAAAUGAAAUUACAAAAUCCUAUCUAUACAACUUCUAUUGGCUCUUGACUCGACUUUUAUCACCCUAUUCUUCAGGCGGGCUCCUGACUUGCAAUUUCUUUCAACUUGUUGCUUGGCUUUCAAUUUCUUCGCUUUGUUGCAUGACUUUUCAUUUCUUCACUCUGUUCUCCAGGCGGGCUCCUGACUUGCUAUUUCAUCACCCUGUUCUUCAGGCAGGCUCCUGAAACCUAAAAUUAAAACUAGAACAAAAAUUAUCCCAAACAAGAAUUAUAGUAAAGUAGUAUUUCAUUUUUGAAAUCGUUGUCCCAUUUUUCAGGAGGGUCCUGAACAGAAAGUAAAGUCCCAUUUUUCAGGAGGGUCCUGAACUGAAAGUAAAAUCCUAUUUUUCAGGAGGGUCCAGAAUUGAAAGUAAAGUCCUAUUUUUCAGGAGGGUCCUGAACUGAAAGUAAAAUCUCUUUUUCAGGAGGGUCCUGAAAUGAAAGUAAAAUCACAUUUUUCAGGAGGUCCUGAACAAAAAGUAAAAUCCCAUUUUCAGGAAGGUCCUGAACAGAAAGUAAAUUUUUAUUUUUCAGGAAGGUCUUGAAUUGAAAGUAAAAUCCCAUUUUACAAGAGGGUCCUGAACAUAAAUUAAAUUCCCAUUUUUUAGGAGGGUCCUGAACAGAAGGUAAAAUCCCAUUUUAAAGGAGGGUCCUGAACAUAAAGUAAAUUCUCAUUUUUCAAGAGGGUCCUGAACAUCAAGUAAAUUCCCAUUUUCCAGGAGGAUCCUGAAUUGAAAGUAAAAUCCCAUUUUUCAGGAGGGUCCUGAAUUGAAAGUAAAGUCUCAUUUUUUAGGAGGGUCCUGAACUGAAAGUAAAGUUCCAUUUUUUAGGAGGGUCCUGAGCAUAAGGUAGAAUCUCAUUUUUCAGGAGGGUCUUGAACAUAAAGUAAAUUUCCAUUUUUCAGGAGGGUCCUGAACAUAAGGUAAAAUCCCAUUUUUUCUAGAGGGUCCUGAAUUGAAAGUAAAGUCCCAUUUUUCAAGAGGGUCCUGAACAUAAAGUAAAAUUCUAUUUUUUAGGAGGGUCCUGAACAUAAAGUAAAAUUUCCAUUUUUCAGGAGGAUCCUGAACAGAAAGUAAAGUCUCAUUUUUCAGGAGGGUCUUGAAUAGAAGGUAAAAUCUCAUUUUCAGGAGGGUCCUGAACUGAAAGUAAAAUCCCAUUUUUCAGGAGGGUCCUAAACAAAAAUAAAAUCCCAUUUUUCAGGAGGGUCCUGAACGUAAAGUAAAUUCCUAUUUUUUAGGAGGGUCCUGAACAGAAGGUAAAAUCCCAUUUUUCAGGAGGGUCCUGAACAUAAAGUAAAUUUUCAUUUUUCAAGAGGGUCCUGAACAACAAGUAAAUUCCCAUUUUUUUCAGGAGAGUCCUGAAUUGAAAGUAAAAUCUCAUUUUUCAGGAAGGUCCUGAACUGAAAGUAAAGUUCUAUUUUUUAGGAGGGUCCUGAGCAUAAAGUAGAAUCUCAUUUUUAGGAGGGUCCUGAACUGAAAGUAAAGUUCCAUUUUUCAGGGGGGUCCUGAGCAUAAAGUAGAAUCUCAUUUUUUAGGAGGGUCCUGAACAUAAAGUAAAUUCCCAUUUUCAGGAGGGUCCUGAACAAAAAGUAAAAUCCCAUUUUCCAGGAGGGUCCUGAAGAGAAGGUAAAAUCCCAUUUUUCAGGAGGGUCCUGAACAUAAAGUAAAUUCUCAUUUUUCAGGAGGGUCCUGAACAGCAAGUAAAUUCCCAUUUUUUAGGAGGGUCCUGAAUUGAAAGUAAAUUUCCAUUUUUCAGGAGGGUCUUGAAUUGAAAGUAAAAUCCCAUUUUUCUGGAGGGUCCUGAAUUGAAAGUAAAAUCCCAUUUUUCAGGAGGGUCCUGAAUUGAAAGUAAAAUCCCAUUUUUCAGGAGGGUCCUGAUUUGGAAGUAAAGUCCCAUUUCUCAGAAGGAUCCUGAACUGAAAGUAAAAUCCCAUUUUUCAGGAGGGUCCUGAAUUGAAAGUAAAAUCCCAUUUUUCAGGAGGGUCCUGAACAUAAAGUAAAAUCCCAUUUUUCAGGAGGGACCUGAACAGAAGGUAAAGUCCCACGGAUGUGCAUUUCCAAUGGUAGCUGAAUUAAGUGAAAGGGAAUUUGCCCCUAAAAACUUACGUGUGGCUUGCAGCUCUUGGCUUCUCAGGUAUCUGCCACAGCACUCGUUCCUUUCAUCUUUGUUCCAAAUUGCUGACACUUGCCCUGUCUUGCCGCAUCAUUGACCCGGAUCCAGAUUGAGGGAAAUGAGCUCUGACUCGAACAAUGGGUUUUCAUUUUACCAUGCCUCUGAGGUGCACUCUUUUCCCAAAUCUGAAUGCUUCCGCGAAUCUAACAGCCUGUCGGUUGAUAGACUUCCUUUGCUUUAUAUUGAAUUACGAUCAUAUUUCUUUCAUGUGCUGGUCCUUGGCUUGUCCUCAUAUAACUGGAAAGACUGGUAGUAAAUUUUGAAAUCCUUUCUCACUUGUUUUAACACAGACUUGACUUAAAAUGUAAAGAAAUGUUGUGACUUUUAUUUUGAUAAAUGACAUAAAAAAAACAAAAAGCAUGAAUAUGUAAAUGAAAGAAAAGGGCAAUGUCCCAUAUUCAGAAAGAAAACUUAUCUGAAUACAACAAACAACUCCAAUGGGUAUGGCAUGCAUUUUGAAUUAAGCUGCCAGAUCUUCCUAUCCAAACUCCCCAUUUGUUGUUGAGUUCGUGCCUUUGCCGCUGAGCCGCUUCUUCAAAUCCAUUGGACUCAUACAUCACAUUCAAUUGAUGACAUCUUACAAGACUUUCGCCAACAAAUCUCUCUCUCUUCACUUUUCACUUUUCUCUUGAACUCGCCAUCGCCUUAUGGUGCCCGUGAGGGUUUUCACCAAUAAGACUCUCUCAUUUUUAUUUCUCUCCACUCACCAUUGCCUUAUGGUGCCUGCGAGGGUUUUCACUAAUAAGACUCUCUCAUUUUCAUUUCUCUCAACUCACCAUCGCCUUAUGAUGCCCGCGGGGGUUUUCACCAAUAAGACUCUCUCAUUUUUAUUUCUCUCCACUCACCAUUGCCUUAUGGUGCCUGCGAGGGUUUUCACUAAUAAGACUCUCUCAUUUUCAUUUCUCUCAACUCACCAUCGCCUUAUGAUGCCCGCGGGGGUUUUCACCAAUAAGACUCUCUCAUUUUUAUUUCUCUCCACUCACCAUUGCCUUAUGGUGCCUGCGAGGGUUUUCACUAAUAAGACUCUCUCAUUUUCAUUUCUCUCAACUCACCAUCGCCUUAUGAUGCCCGCGGGGGUUUUCACCAAUAAGACUCUCUCAUUUUUAUUUCUCUCCACUCACCAUUGCCUUAUGGUGCCUGCGAGGGUUUUCACUAAUAAGACUCUCUCAUUUUCAUUUCUCUCAACUCACCAUCGCCUUAUGAUGCCCGCGGGGGUUUUCACCAAUAAGACUCUCUCAUUUUUAUUUCUCUCCACUCACCAUUGCCUUAUGGUGCCUGCGAGGGUUUUCACUAAUAAGACUCUCUCAUUUUCAUUUCUCUCAACUCACCAUCGCCUUAUGAUGCCCGCGGGGGUUUUCACCAAUAAGACUCUCUCAUUUUGUAUUUUUUUCCUGAUUUCUUAUGCUGAAGGAGACAAGUGGUACCUCACAAUGUAUCAUCAUAUCCAUUGAAUGCUUAGCCUUAACAUUAUCAAAAAUUGAUCUGAAGGACUUUCUUUGGUUGUAACUUGGCUUUCGGAUAAGGUUAGAAAAGGAUGGCAAGAGGUUCAAAUGACACUUGAAGUGGUGGUGGGACUUACAACUUUUGGAAUCGACUCAAACAACAUAUUAUCUCAUGCCCCAAUUUUUGUUGACUGGGUGACUCUAAAAUCUUUAUUUGGUUGGACCGAGCUCGAAAUAGGACAGCCCACGUAUCUUACUCCCGAGAGAGGAGAAUCAGGUCGCACGUAGUUCCAUAAGCUUGUUCUUUGUUUUGAUUUUUUUUUGAACUCUUUCUUUUAUUCUUAUUUUCUUGACAUUUAUAUUUGACUAUAUUUUGAUUCCAAAAGAGGGAUAUGAAAGAAAAAAAAUAAAACAAAGCUCAAACGGGUAAAUAAUGGAUGACACAAUGUUUGGAUAGAAGAAUAAAAUACCUUCAUCAUAUCAAUCUUCAAAAAUGCAAGUACUAAACAUGCAAUAAAAUCAAAAAAGGAUAAAAUAUCAUACAUAAUAUCUUUUGACCGCANNNNNNNNNNNNNNNNNNNNNNNNNNNNNNNNNNNNNNNNNNNNNNNNNNNNNNNNNNNNNNNNNNNNNNNNNNNNNNNNNNNNNNNNNNNNNNNNNNNNNNNNNNNNNNNNNNNNNNNNNNNNNNNNNNNNNNNNNNNNNNNNNNNNNNNNNNNNNNNNNNNNNNNNNNNNNNNNNNNNNNNNNNNNNNNNNNNNNNNNNNNNNNNNNNNNNNNNNNNNNNNNNNNNNNNNNNNNNNNNNNNNNNNNNNNNNNNNNNNNNNNNNNNNNNNNNNNNNNNNNNNNNNNNNNNNNNNNNNNNNNNNNNNNNNNNNNNNNNNNNNNNNNNNNNNNNNNNNNNNNNNNNNNNNNNNNNNNNNNNNNNNNNNNNNNNNNNNNNNNNNNNNNNNNNNNNNNNNNNNNNNNNNNNNNNNNNNNNNNNNNNNNNNNNNNNNNNNNNNNNNNNNNNNNNNNNNNNNNNNNNNNNNNNNNNNNNNNNNNNNNNNNNNNNNNNNNNNNNNNNNNNNNNNNNNNNNNNNNNNNNNNNNNNNNNNNNNNNNNNNNNNNNNNNNNNNNNNNNNNNNNNNNNNNNNNNNNNNNNNNNNNNNNNNNNNNNNNNNNNNNNNNNNNNNNNNNNNNNAUCUACCACAGCCUUCUUUUUCACUGACUUGAAAGUUACUGCUUCUACCCACUUUGUGAAGUAAUCAAUGGCUACCAAAAUGAAUCUAUGUCUAUUUGAUGCCUUCGGCUCAAUCGGUCCAAUCACAUUUAUUCCCCAAGCCACAAACGGCCAUGGAGAGGCCAUUACGUGCAGCUCAGCAGGAGGAGAACGUAUCAGAUCACCGUGUACCUGACAUUGAUGACACUUUUGAACAAAUCGAAUAGAAUCCCUCUCCAUAGUAAGCCAGUAAUAACCUGCUCGAAGAAUCUUCUUUGACAAGACAUGACCGUUCAUAUGCGACCCGCAUACUCCAGAGUGUAUUUCGACCAUGAUUGUCGAGGCUUCUCUUGCAUCUACACAUCUCAAAAGUCCCAGAUCUGGGGUUCUCUUAUAUAAGAUCCCCCCACUUAAGAAAAAUCCACUAGCCAAACGCCUAAUAGUGCUCUUUUGAUCGUUGGUGGCAUAUGUUGGGUAUUCUCCUGACUGGAUGUAUCGCUUGAUAUCCAAGAACCAGGGUACUCCAUCGAGCUCUUCUUCAACCACAUUAUAGUAAGCAUGCUUAUCAUGACUCUGUAUAUGCACAGGAUCGAUGUAGGCUUUAUCAGGAUGUUGGAGCAUUGAAGAUAGAGUGGCUAAAGCGUCAGCAAUUUCAUCACGAAUCCUUGAAAUAUGCCUAAAUUUUACUAACACAAACCAUUGACAUAACUCCUGCAAGCAUUGUCGAUACGGGAUGAGCUUCAAAUCUCACGUCUCCCAAUCUCCUUGAAUUUGAUGGACGAUCAAAUCUGAAUCCCCCAACACCAAUAAUUCCUAGACUCCCAUACCAACAGCUAACCUCAAACCAACAAUGUAAGCUUCAUACUCUGCCAUAUUGUUAGUACAGUAAAAUUAAAGUUGUGCUAUUACCGGGAAAUGUUGUCCCGAUUCAGAGAUAAGAACCGCACCUAUUCUGAUUUCUUUCAUAUUGACAGCUCCAUCAAAGAACAACUUCCAACCUGGAUCAGCAUCUAUAACAACUUCAUCGACACACGAUACUUUUUCAUCAGGAAAAUAUGUCUUUAAUGGCUCGUACUCUUUAUCGAUGAGAUUCUUAGCAAGAUGAUCUUUCAAGGCUUGGGCUUUUAUGGUGGUUUGAGUCACAUAUACAAUGUUGAACUCAGUAAGCAAUAUUUUCCACUUUGCCAAUCGACCUGUCGGCAUAGGGUUCUAAAAGAUAUACUUCAAAGGAUCCAUGCAGGAGAUGAGAUAAGUAGUAUAGGAUGAGAGAUAAUGCUUCAACUUCUGUGCUACCCAAGUUAUGGCACAACACGUCCUUUCAAGAAGAGUAUACCUAGCCUCAUAUGCGGUGAACUUCUUGCUAAGAUAAUAAAUAACCUGCUCCUUUUUUCCUGUGACAUCAUGUUGACCCAGGACACAACCAAAAGAAUUAUCCAUGACUGAUAAAUAUAAGAUCAAAGGCCUAUCAGGCUCCGAUGUUACCAGCACGGUCGGAUUUGAUAAAUAUCUUUUGAUUCUGUCGAACGCUUCCUGACAUUCUUCAGUCCAUUUUACCGCAGCACUCUUUUUCAACAACUUGAAUAUGGGCUCAGAAGUGGUUGUGAGUUGAGCAAUAAACCUGCUAAUAUAGUUCAAUCUACCAAGCAAACUCUUCACUUUCGUCCUAUUCUUGGGUGGGGGCAAAUCCUGAAUGGCUUUGAUUUUCUAGGGAUCCAAUUUAAUCCCCCGAUGGCUGACUACAAACCCCAAUAGCUUUCCAGACGGAACUCCAAAUACACAUUUUGUCGGGUUGAGCUUGAGAUUAUACCUGCGAAGCCUUUCAAUGAACUUUCUUAAAUCUUUAACAUGCCCGGCUUGACUUUUUAACUUAAUAAUCAUAUCAUCCACGUAGACCUCAAUCUUCUUAUGCAUCAUAUUAUGAAUCAUAGUGGUCAUGUCUCUCAUGUAUGUUGCUCCAGUAUUCUUCAAACCGAACGGCAUCACCCAAUAAUAAUAGGUCCCCCAUAGUGUGAUAAAAUACGUCUUCUCCGCGUCUUCAUCAUCCAUAAUGAUCUGGUGAUAUCCGGUAUAGCAAUCCACAAAAGAGGCAACCUCGUGUUUAGCACAAUUGUCUAGCAAAAUAUGGAUUUUGGGCAGUGGAAAAUCAUCUUUUGAACUUGCUCUAUUCAAAUCACGAUAAUCAACACAUGAAUUUUGCCAUCUUUCUUUGGUACGGGAACAACAUUGGAUAACCACAUGGGAUAACGAGCCACUCGAAUUACUUUGGCUUCAAGUUGUUUCAUAAUUUCCUCUUUGAUUUUAAUACUUACAUCAGUUUUAAACUUUCUCAACUUCUGUUUGAUAGGAGGGAAUGCGGGGUCAGUUGGCAAUUUAUGAGCCACUAAUUCAGUGCUGAAACCAGGCAUAUCAUCAUAAAACCAUGCAAAAACAUCGUUAUAAUCAAUUAAUGCUUGAAUCAUUCCAUCUUUUAGAUUGGAAAAGCAUGCACACUGAUUUUAGUUUCCCUAACAUCUUGAUUCCCUAGAUUUAUUGGUUCCAUCUCGUUCAAAUUAGGAUUCGGUUUGUCUUCAAACUAUUUUAACUCUUUGCUUAUUUCUUCUAGUGCUUCUUCUUUAUCAUAUUCCCCAUCCUGCUUUAUUACAUCUUGAUUAGUCUGGAUUUUAAGAUCAGGCUGAAAAUUCCGCAUGCAUGUCAUGUCAUUAGAAUCAGCAUAAAUAGAACUGUAUAUAAAAAAAGAAAAAUAAAAUAUAUUAGACAUGAAACAAAAGGGACAUUGUAUUUCAUUAAAUAAAAAGAUAGAAGGGCUUAAGCAUAGAUGCCAACAUAACAUAAACAAACUAAAAAUCCAAAUUACAACCUUGAAAUAACUCGAAUAAACAGAAAGAAAAACAAAAUAAACUACCAAAACUCCCUCCUAACGGGGAGAGGAGUGACUUUCCAAUUAUUGAGUCGGACAGCUGGACCUAUGAAUUGCACGUCUGUCAUACUGGUACCUUCUCCUGCUUCGACCAUAUCAACUUUAAUUAAAAGGUUCUGGCAGUUAUCAACCAAUUCAACUUCAAAUUUCACAUGCUUCGUGACACCGCUCUUAAAAAAUGAUUCACUGAGUAGUGGCAUUGGGCGAGGGAGUGACCAUGUUUCCUUUUUCCUUCCCUUGGCUUUCUUUAGAUCUUCAGCCGUAGGCUCAAAUCCCAGACCAAACGUGCCCACGUUCUCACUCGAAUAUAUGGAAUGAACUAUACCAUGCAGAGACGCUCCCGAACCCUUUCCUGGCUUAAAUUCGUAUUUCUUACGUUCGCUCACCAUCAUGAUAGAAGCGAAAGACAAUUGUGGUCCCGGUAUAACCUGCCAUUCAAGGAUACGAUUCACUGGCGAUAGACGAAUAUUUCCUCUACGUUAUUUGCUUCAAUAAGAGACAAGGGAGAAUCUUCGCAGGCAGACAAAUCUCCUUCACCGUGAAUAACCACUUCUUGCCUAUCAUGCUCAAACUUAAUCAUUUGGUGCAAUGCAGAUGCAACCGCCUUGGCCUUGUGGAUCCACGGCCUUCCCAACAACAGAUUGUAAGAGGAGUCUAUAUUCAAUAUUUGAAACUCUAUGGAGAACUCAACAGGCCCUAUGAUCAACAUUAGUUCUAUUUCGCCAAUGGAGUUUGAUUUUGCACUAUCGAAAGCCCUGACAUAUACAUUGUUGGGCCUGAUCCUCUCAGAACCAAUAUUCAACUUUUGCAAAGUAGAAAUAGGGCAGAUAUUUGCACCUGAACCUCCGUCAAUCAUAACAUGAGUGACGUAGAAAUCUUCGCACUUCACUGUAAUGUAAAGGCCCCGGUUAUGCCCUAUACCUUUAACAGGCAAUUCAUCAGAAAAGCUGAUCCGAUUGACCUCAAAGAUUUUUUCGACCAUUUUCUCAAGCUGAUUUAUUGUAAUCUCCCUAGGAACAUAUGCUUCAUUUAAUACCUUUAGUAAAAUAUCACGAUGCUCCUUGGAGUGCAACAACAAAGAUAAGAGGGCAAUUUGAGCAGGGGUUUUCUUCAACAUUAUUGAAUACUCUGGCAAUUUCAUCUUUAUCAAAAAUUCUUCGGCUUCUUCUUCGGUGAUAGGCUUUUUGAUAGAUGACUGUCCACUCACAAUUGGCUUGGACUUUCUUAAACUUUUAGGCACGAAGCAUCUUCCUGACCUAGUCAAACCCCCUACCUCAUCUACAUCUUCCACUACUUUUUUCCAGUGAUAGGUCAUCACAGUCCGCCCAUAAUUCCAGGGAACCCUUUUCGUAUCAACUAUCGGAGGUUGGGUCACCAGUUUGAGGACAAUAGGCACUGCCACCAUUUCUUUCACCAUCAAGAUGGGCUUACUCGGAGCUCCUACCACUGUCAACUUAGGUUUAUCCUGACUUAAAUCAACAUACCUUUUGGCACCUUGCACCAUGAUUAGGGGUUUUUUUGUGCUUUCUUAGUCUUUAUCUUCUCUCAUUCCUUCCUGGAUCAAUGACAUUGAUUUCAAAAACUCUACUACAUUCACCGAUUUCUCCUCAAUAUUUUGUAUCUUGACGAUAGGCUUAUAACACCUUGAUGACUCUUUCCCAUCAUAUAUCAAUUCUAACAUGUUGGUUUCAGCAUGGGUUGGCAGCGGAUUCUGGUUAAUGUUUUGACCCUUCGGGGCCUGGACCGGCAUCUGAUUUGUGUCAAUUAAAUCUUGGACAGCUUUCUUUAAAUGCCAGUAUUUCUUGAUAUCAUGGCCUGGUAUGUCAGAACAGUAUGCACACCUUAAAGAAUAAUCGAGAUUCCUCAGCGGUGGAUUUGAAAGCUUUCCUUGAAUUGGGCUUAAGACCUUCAACUUUCUCAACCUAUCAAACAAGCUAGCAUAUGACUCCCCAAGAGGUGUGAAUUGAUUUUUGACCGCCUUCUCUUUCUUAUACUCGGGCCUAGGUUGAAAACUGGAGGGGUUUUGGUAAUUCGGUAGAGCGAAUGGGCGAUUUUGUGGAGCUUGCGCGCGCCAUUGCAGGUAAGAAGGGGUUUGGGUAUAUGGAUGCACGCUAUAUUCUGGGUACGGAGGUGGUGGAAUAGAAUAUAAAGGGUUUUGUGAAGGGUAGCAAUGAUGGGGAGGAAUAUAUGGAGCUUGGGCGUAGACUUGGGCUUGAGAUUGGGGAUAGGGGUGAGGUGGUCUUUUGGGAUAGGAAUGGGUUCCAACUACGACAGUCGCCACAUCCUCUUUUUUCUUUUUACCUUCGAAUGUGCCAGAUCCACCUUGAAUCACUUGUGUGGUGGCUUUCAAUACGACAAAACUCACUAUUCAGCCCGUCUUGAUUCCAUCCUCUAUCAUCUCCCCCAUUUUGAGGACUUCAAUAAAAGACUUUCCCAUUGUCGAAAGUUAAUGUGGAAAAUAGGUCUCAUCCUGUGCCUGAAUGAAAACCUCUACCAACUUACUUUCUCUCAUUGAAGGCUUUACCCUGGCGGCCUGUUCACACCACCUUAUCGCGUAUUCCCUAAAAUCUUCAAUGCUUUUCUUCUUCAUGUUGACCAAGGAUUUUUCGUCUGGAAUCAGGUCGAUGUUAUACUAAAAAUAUUGCACAAACUCAGAAGCUAAGUCAUCCCAGCUAUUCCACUUGUCGAUAUCUUGAUCGAUAAACCAUUCUAAAGCUAGAUCAGAAAGACUCUCGCCAAAUAAAGCCAUGAGCAGCUCUUUCCUUCCUCCUGCAGCCCUCAAUUGGUUGCAAUAACAUCUCAAGUGUGCCACGGGAUCACCGUGCCCUGCAUACUUCUCGAACUUGGGCAUUUUUAAACUAAGGGGAAGGUUGAUGUCUGGGAACAUGCAAAGAUCUUUAUAGGAAACACUCUUAUAACCUCUGAUUCCCUGCAAAUUCUUAAUAGCCUGUUCUAAACUUUUUAGCUUCCGUGCUAGACUUUUAUUUCCUCUGUUGCGACAAGUUUCUCCAUAUCAAAUGGAAAUGCAGGUGGCUGAGUGUACCCAUACAAUUCAUUCAUUCUUAAAGUAGGCUCCGAGGCAUAAUACUGACUAUUUGGAACCUUCAAUACUGGCUCACUGACAGAUCUAGGAAGCCCCAUUGUCGGACGCACAGCAUAUGUAGGAGCUUCAAAUGGUGUCGGAGCCACGAAUACCGAUGUGAUCGGUGGCGCCGGAUGAGCAGCGGGUCUUGAUUGGGGAGCUGCCAAGGGCACACCAGAACUGCCAGGAUGAUAAUGUCACGGAGUGAAUCCUGGCGCGUGCACAGGUGACUCUGUAGGAGCAUAGAAUUGCUCCUGAGAGAGCGCUGGGCAAUUAGAGAUAUUACCAACACCUUCAGGGAGCGGAGGAGGAGGCAUUCUGCUGGCCUAUGCCCUACGCAAAUCUAUCAAUUGUUGCCUGAGCCUUACUACCUCAUCAUUGUGUUCUAAACUUUCUUCACUGUGAUCCUGAUCUGGGUCAAUGAGCGAAUUUUCAAUCUCCCUGCUAGCCAUGGCGAGCUUUGCUUUGAAUCUAGUGAAGUAUGGGUGACUAGCCAGAGUGCUGCAAACCUACCACUGUUAUUUGAAAGAACAUGCUCAUCAAAGACGACAUCCGUUAGGAUUAGGGCACACAACAAGCAUGGGAAUCACAUUGGUAAAAUUGUCCUAAAUUCAUGUUCAUUUCUACCAGCUUUUGAGGGUAGCGAGGUCAUUUUAACAUCAUCCCAAUUUUUAUCUACACUUAUUUUUUUCUACACUUAUUAUUAUUAUUAUUAUUAUUAUUAUUUUCGCCCUCCUUUCCCUCCUUUUUUUUAUCAAUCUCUGUUCUUUCCCUUUAUUGUCUCAUCAUCCUUUCUUUCUUUUCUUCUCUCGCUAUCUACCUUCAUUUUAUCAUUCUUUAUGACUUUUGUUUUUCUUAAAAAGAGGAAAAAUAAUGAAAAAUAAUGAAACGAAAUGAUUAGAUCGAACCCAAAAGUAGGUUGCCUACGUAUCAUGUUGUACAUGAAUCAAACCUUGCAUAGUUCGGGCUGCAUAUGCAUAAGCAUCACACAAUUGAUGGUUUUUUUUUCACGAAAAACAAGUAAACAAAAGAAAGACGUAACAUCAUAACAUUUCGAUGAAAGAAACAACAAAACAUACAACAAAUUUAGGACCACUUUAAAACCAAACAACAAAUACAAAACAACAUUCUAAACCCCUAAUGACAUCCGUGCAAUUACUAAUAAAGACCCGAAUAUCAAAAACAACUUGACUCCGACUUAACACAGACACCACCCUAAAAUGAUAGAAACAUAAAAGACUCAAAACUACAUAAAGAUAAGACAUGUUCUUUCAAACUGGUGCUCUGUGUGACGUCCCCAGCUGAGAUGAACCGAUAUGUGAAGUCCCCUCUUUUCCACUCAGACGUUGCAAUAUAUCCUGCAACGACGUUUUGAUACCCGGGAACAAAUUUCUUGCCGUAUCCCUGCCUCUUAGAGAUUACACCCGCAAAGGUUUCUCUGACACCUAUCCACAGUUAAGAUCAAACGUGACAACUGAACUCUCAAAAACUCCACCUUGGCACCCGAAUCUUCCUGCUCAUCAUCCUCUACCACUAUUGCUUUCCGUAUUCGCCCUCUAAGUUGGGCUGGUAAGGGUUUACUAAUGCCACGGGCAGAGAUUGUAGCUAGAUUUCAUAGUUUUGAGUGCAUCCUGGAUUUUCCUCGAGAGUAUCGACACCUAGCUUUAUCAAAGAAUGUUGUUCGGAGUUCUUGAUUCAAGAAAUUCGAUCCAAGAAUUGACUCCUAUAGGAAAAGAAAAUUUGUCAAAAUUGCAUUCUCUCUUGCAUGUCUUGCACUCGAUCAUUCAGACAACGGUCGAUCACAUCUGCUCUAAUCAAAGAAGGCAUAUGCAAGUGCUCCAUCAUCCACAACUGUAAUAUCAGAUUACUCCCCUCGAAAAAUCGUACCCCUCCUUUUACUUCAGUUAAAGCCUUAUAUAUUUCUGUUAAGAUCAUUGGUACAAUGGUGACCUCAUCUUUUUUCUUGAAUAAAGAUAUCACCACUGAUUGUAGACGAGUAUUGAUACACCUCUCAUCUAACGGGAACACUAAGAUACCCAACAAAGCCAGACAGAAAACCUCAAGACGACGUUGUUCCCAGAUUUUUUUGGUAGUACAAAAUUCAUCCCAAAAGCAGUCAAAACCCUCUAAGGACCCAAAUCUAGCAAACAAAUUGUCCAAGGAAAUCCAAGAUUGUUUGAGACAUCCCAGAUGCUUGUUAUCUUUUAAUCCACAGAGUCGAAGGAAUUUCUUACGAGUAUGAUUGCGGGCUAAAAUCAUCUGUUGACCCAUGUUAGUCAACCGAAACAAACGAGAAACUUCUGCCAGGGUAGGAGUCAAUUCACAACUUCUGAACCUAAACACCAAAUUAUUUGGAUCCCAGAAAGUCAAUGCAACUUCUAUUAGAUCCGAACGAGGCGUGAGAUCCAUAAGUGCUACAAGAUUGCCUAACACUUUCCUCACUUCAUGCUUUUCAGAGUAAUUGAACGUGCCCCACCACUUGAUCGACUUUUUGGGUACCUUGACAACUAUAAGGACUAUAGACUUUGUAGACAGAUCCAUUCGGUAGUAGCAGAUAAGAAAUUAUCUUAAAAAUUUGAUAAGAGUAAAAGGUUCCCAACCAAUGGGAAUUUGAUGCGGACAUACGUCGAUGGGACAGAUCGCUUCAUGACUCCAAAUCGCCGAACAGUAAUGCUGAUUAAAAUCAGCCUACUUGGUUAACAACUCUAGGUUACGGGGUAAAAGACCUAGUCUAAGACUAAGACGAAGGCCAAAAUAAAGGUUACCGGACCCACCGAGGGUUGCCUAUGUAUCCCGCCCCGAGGGACGGGAAUCAGGUAUGAGUAGUUCGUCCAUGUUUGAAAAAUAAAUAUUAACUAACAGACUGACCCUAACUUAAGAGACACAACCAAAGACCGAUGAAUAAAAGAAAAAAUAGAAAAAAUUUGGGUUUUUAAUUUGACACCAACAACUAUGAAAGAAAAAAUCUUUUUGGCAUUUUCGUUAAACAAAACUUCUACCACCUUUUUUUUUGAAUUUUUCUUUUAUAAAAAAAAGCCCCUAAAAAAUCUUUUUGGAGUUUUUGAAUUGUGAAAGCUUGCUAAAGGAGACAAAAGGAAAAUCUUUUUUUCUUUUUUUCUUUUUUUUUUUGAAUUUUUGAAUCAUAGAAAACAAAAGCCAUAAAGAACUCUAAAAACUACAAAAAUCUUUUUCGGACAAUUUUUUUUUCAAUUUUUUUUUCACACACUUUACUUUCUAACACAUGCUUUACCCCACAUCAGUCUGUCAAAUGACCACGUUGUCCUCAAAGAUGCAACAUUUAGCACGUAGGAAUGCUUUAGAGGUAAGUCUCCUACAAAGGACCAAGUGGACCCGCUAGGUCUCAAUAUGAUGCACAUAAGCAUGACCUAAAGGCUGACCUACACUGGGGUUCACUAACAAGGCCGUUCGGGGGAGCAUAUGGUCGAUAGUGGCUGCUUAGCUUUCCAUCUACUCCAUACAUCCAACGGCUCCUCCCCCCUAAAAUAAAGGUGACUCAACUAGAGUUCGUGCGCACGACGUGAGCUCUAGACUUGUUGCGGAAAGAAUGACUCGGGUUAUGCACAUGAUGUCAGAUAUAAAAGAGGUAACACAUAGGAUAAAUACUGUAAACAAAGAGCACGAAAAUACACAAAAAGUGAAAACACAAACAAAAAUCACAAACAAUGAUUAUACACUCAUAAUGCCAAACAAAGCCGAUACGACUCCAAAAAAACUCGGAUUUUGAAAUCUUCCCCAGCAUAGUCGUCAGAGCUGUCACACCCCUUUUUCUAACCCCAAAAAAGAUUCGGUUUUAAGUUUUGAAAGGGUUUUUAUUAUUAAGUGACAAAAUAAAACGAUUUGUUUCGAAUAAAGAUUGUUUUUACAUUUGAAAUCAGAGUCGCCACUUGGCAUAAUCUGGUGUGCCAAGUCACCAUUGGAAAAUCUUUUUCAAAACCAUUUGACUCUUUAAACUAGUUUGCAAACAGAGAUUCCAGCCAAGGAAUUCUGUUGACCGAGGAAAAGUUAUUAGGCACCCCUUGAUCCCGUGGUUCGACCACGGUCGCUUGGUGGAGCGUAUCAACUAAUUUUGACACUAUGAAUGUACAACCCACACAAAACACGUAAAACAAUCAAACAAACAAAAAAAUCAAUAGUACAGUGUCCAGUCCAAUUUAUACAGUCCAAAAAUAAAAAUGCAAAAAUAAAUCCUAUCUAACCUACACUAAUACUAACUACACUCCCGUGCUUUACCCGACGCCUCGGACCUUCAUCACGAAUGUCCUCCGAGUACAAAUUACCUCAGGGAAUUCCCCGGUGAAUAAAGAUAUACAGAUACUUCGAGGCAUUCCCCGGCCAAAUAAUACAAUUGAUCCAAAAGUGAUAAAACAAAACCAUUCAACACCCAUUUCAACAUUCACCGCAUUGAAUCAACACCUCACUCCUAACUUUUGCCUACCCGUACCUAAAUAUUUUUGCCUAUCCAAUUCGACCUAUCAGGAUACUAUCAAGCUCGAUAUCAAUGAAUCAAAUCAACAAAAUCAUUUUUUAUCAACUUUUAACUUCC